CACGGAGUUAGCCGAUGCUUUUUCUUCGGAUACACGCAGUCCGGGACACGUCCCGGGUUUUGUUCUCCGACAAAAGGGGUUUACAACCCAUAGGGCCGUCUUCCCUCACGCGGCUUGGCUGGUUCAGGAUCUCUCCCAUUGACCAAUAUUCCUCACUGCUGCCUCCCGUAGGAGUCUGGUCCGUGUCUCAGUACCAGUGUGGGGGACCUUCCUCUCAGAACCCCUACGCAUCGUCGCCACGGUGGGCCGUUACCCCGCCGUCAAGCUAAUGCGCCGCAUGCCCAUCCUCUUCCGAUGAAUCUUUCCUCGAUCUCGGAUGCCCGAAACCGAUAUACGCGGGAUUAGCCUCCCUUUCGGAAGGUUGUCCCCCUGAAGAGGGCAGGUUGCAUACGUGUUACUCACCCGUGCGCCGGUCGCCGGCAAGGAAAGCAAGCUUCCCUCCCGAUGCCCCUCGACUUGCAUGUGUUAAGCCUGCCGCUAGCGUUCAUCCUGAGCCAGGAUCAAACUCU
Molecule: ribosomal RNA, 509 nt
Filed under: uncultured Bacteroidales bacterium
Lineage: Bacteria; Pseudomonadati; Bacteroidota; Bacteroidia; Bacteroidales
Description: partial 16S ribosomal RNA
Source: RNAcentral